UGUGACCAUACCAAACUGUUGCCUCGGCGGGGUCACGCCCCGGGUGCGUCGCAGCCCCGGAACCAGGCGCCCGCCGGAGGGACCAACCAAACUCUUUCUGUAGUCCCCUCGCGGACGUUAUUUUUACAGCUCUGAGCAAAAAUUCAAAAUGAAUCAAAACUUUCAACAACGGAUCUCUUGGUUCUGGCAUCGAUGAAGAACGCAGCGAAAUGCGAUAAGUAAUGUGAAUUGCAGAAUUCAGUGAAUCAUCGAAUCUUUGAACGCACAUUGCGCCCGCCAGUAUUCUGGCGGGCAUGCCUGUCCGAGCGUCAUUUCAACCCUCGAACCCCUCCGGGGGGUCGGCGUUGGGGACUUCGGGAACCCCUAAGACGGGAUCCCGGCCCCGAAAUACAGUGGCGGUCUCGCCGCAGCCUCUCAUGCGCAGUAGUUUGCACAACUCGCACCGGGAGCGCGGCGCGUCCACGUCCGUAAAACACCCAACUUCUGAAAUGUUGACCUCGGAUCAGGUAGGAAUACCCGCUGAACUUAAGCAUAUCAAUAA
Molecule: ribosomal RNA, 541 nt
Filed under: Trichoderma viride
Lineage: Eukaryota; Fungi; Ascomycota; Sordariomycetes; Hypocreales; Hypocreaceae
Description: eukaryotic LSU rRNA
Rfam family: 5.8S ribosomal RNA (bases 158-311)
Source: RNAcentral